AACGCAUCUUGCGCUCGCUGGUAUUCCGGCGAGCAUGUCUGUUUGAGUGUCGUGAACUCUUCAACCCCCAAUUUUUCUGUAUGGGAAUUUUGGCGCGGCUUGGUUUCUGAACGUUUCAUGCUGGAUUCUACCCUCGGGUGGAAUCGAAGCUCGUUCGUAAUGCAUUAGCAUCCUAAUCUUCGAGAUCAGAUUGACUCGGCGUAAUAGACUAUUCGCUGAGGACAUGGCCCCCCGUCAAAAAGGGAGUUGUGGCUGGACUUGGAAAGUUGGAAGCUUACAAAACCCGACAAUUUAGUCAAUCAUUUUUUAAGAUUAGACCUCAGAUCAGGCAGGAUUACCCGCUGAACUUAA
RNAcentral lists this unclassified non-coding RNA (351 nucleotides) under uncultured Microbotryum. RNAcentral describes it as "sequence contains ITS2". The stretch from base 1 to 52 matches the Rfam family "5.8S ribosomal RNA", at positions 103 to 154 of the family's 154-position model. Lineage: Eukaryota; Fungi; Basidiomycota; Microbotryomycetes; Microbotryales; Microbotryaceae. The record is from RNAcentral. RNAcentral also lists the same sequence under 1 other name.